RNAcentral lists this ribosomal RNA (96 nucleotides) under Triticum aestivum (bread wheat). Its description in RNAcentral is "partial small subunit ribosomal RNA". The record is from RNAcentral. Lineage: Eukaryota; Viridiplantae; Streptophyta; Magnoliopsida; Poales; Poaceae.
AUGGGCGUGCGCUCAAAGGAUACAAACAUGGAUUCGCAAACAAAAAGGGGAAUUCGUAGUCACUUUUUCCUGUCGCGUAAAAAAAAGUCUUGCUAA